This 384-nucleotide ribosomal RNA is filed under the name Triticum aestivum (bread wheat). RNAcentral describes it as "partial small subunit ribosomal RNA". Lineage: Eukaryota; Viridiplantae; Streptophyta; Magnoliopsida; Poales; Poaceae. The record is from RNAcentral.
CUUACCAGAAAGUACUUCUAUGUGGAAAACAACAGAUGUGUUCUGUGUGGUGAUGAAACUAAUGAGGAUUAUAUCCACCUAUUCUUUUCAUGUGAUUUCAGUCAAAACUUCUGGAUUGCUCUGGGCUCUGAAUGGAAUGCAGAUUUGACUAUAUUCGAUAUGUUGAUGGAGGCCAAAAAGAGAAUUACAAUCAAAUGUUUCAAAUAAUGUUUGAUCGCAGGUUGCUGGAGUCUAUGGAAACACAGGAAUGGCAUCAUCUUUGAUCACAAGCAAAGAAACUUAGAAUAUUGCAUUAGUUGCUUCAAAGAACACUUUGCUAUGGUGACCAAGAGAACCAAACCUAGUCUUAAGGAGGGAAUGCAAUCAUGGUUAGAUUAUUUGUAG